Molecule: long non-coding RNA, 924 nt
Organism: Propithecus coquereli (Coquerel's sifaka)
Lineage: Eukaryota; Metazoa; Chordata; Mammalia; Primates; Indriidae
Exons: 3
Source: RefSeq, a predicted model, not a curated record
ACCCCCGGGACUCAGGUGGCGCCCAGGCGAGCAGGGGAGGACCGAAGUCCAGAGCAGAAGCGAGGACAGGCAGAGCAGCAGAAGCAGGGGCCCGGGCGGCCCUGGUCACUGCCCACAGCCAGACAGCAGUGGGACCACCGAAGCACGUCUCCGCACCAUCCCUGCCAGACUUGCAAGAUGGGUUUUCUUGCGUAAAGGCCCUGCCAGCAGUGAAGGGUGGACGGGUACCAGCGUCCCCCAGAGGGAAGAACCUGUUCCUGCCCAUUUGGAGCAGCCCGCCCCUGCCCCCCACGCUUCACCCUCACCACUGCUCCACAGGCCCCCAAAGGAAACCUGAAAUGACCCACACCUGCUCCAGGUGGGCUGAGCCCUCCUCCCUGCAGAACCAGUGGAACAGCACAGGCCCUCCUGCCUGUCCCCUCCCUCCCUCUUCUGGGCUUCGCCAGGGCAAGAGGCUGGCAGGCUGGGUCCCUCUGUGUGGCCAGCCCCCAGCUGCCUUGUCCCUGAAGAACACGUGGCUUCUCCCUUGGACUGACUUCUGUCACCCGAACUCUUCCAGGGCCUGGGGCCUUUGCGGGGGAAAGACGCCCCCUCCCUUGGGGCCCAGCCCAGCCAGCCCUGUUCCCAGUUCCCUGUGAGCUCAGGAGUCAGCUUCAUGUGACCACACAGGUCCAGCGCAGCCGUGACCAGACUGACACCCUAAGAGCAAAUCCUUGGAAGACAACCUGCUGAAGAGAAAGGGCAGCGGCUGGUCAGCCUCCCGGGAGCACCCUGCACGGUGGCAGAAGGGGACGCCACUGCGGGCUCAAACACCAGCUGGUCCUGCGGCUGUCACCUGCAAGUUCACCUGCAAGGUUACCUGGAAGGCAGAGACCCUGCCACCGCGAGGACGGCCCCUCCCUAGGACAGCAUCCUCCAGCCAGC